UCCACGGGUGCUCUUAGAGUAUAAGAUGGGCGAGCAGCUCAUCUCAUUGUCCCAGAUGAAACCUCGCACCACACCGGAGAACAGGAAGUGGAGAAGAGUUUGAAAGAGAGCUUUGACGAGGAGUUUCCCUUGUUUCUGGGCUGGCUCUGCCCAGGAGAGUGAGCCCUCCUGCUCCCCGCCCCCUCCUUCCACAGGGGACGGAGGUAGAUUCCAUUUUCUGCGGCCGAAACGCCCCAGCCUGUUACACUCUGUGCUUUAUCUCUGCAGCCAACUCAGCGCCACGAGUAACUGUGUGUCCCCUGCUGUAACACAAUGAAGGUGGGGAGACAUUUCUGCCAGAGGACUCAGCAUUGCAAUGACAAGUUUCACAGCUGACGUUUCUCCUGCAAGAUAAAGUCCCUUUCUUGCUUGAAAAAGAUUAUUUGCUACGUUCGGACCACCUCCUUUCUGCCAUUUGGGUAGAUGUACCUGUGGAAUAGACCAAUGGAGCUGGAGUCACCUGCCACCAAAUUUGGGACGUCGUGCUAUGAAGCAUUCGCCCCUGUCUGAAUACCGGAGCCAUUUGACAUCCUGUAGGGGACAGUCAGCUGUCCAUCUUCCUUGGGCCCAACUGCCCAGCAUCCCUGAGACAGCACACCUUCUCAGCGAGGCUGGUCCCUGAGCCAAGGAACAGGCCCAGGUGUGUCUGGAUGCAUCCCCAGGAAAGAGCCUCAGAAAACGAACGAGGAAGCAGUACAAGCGUGAUAGGCACCUUGCACUGGUCCUGUCAGCUUUGUGUUUCACUGGAGAGCAACAGGCAGAUUCAAGGACACGCCCACCUCUGGUGAAAAGGCAGGGAAGCCUUGCUUUCUGAGGCCUCCAGGCUGUCAUUCUUCAGGCACACCCUCUUCUAACAAUGCACUGGGAGGGCUCAGAAGAAAAAGGUUUACUGGAGUCAUCAGGAGGCUGCCGCAGAAAUCAGGAGAUGGCGAGCUAGAGAGUUUUAUUUUAUCGUCCCUGCACUUGAGCCUCAAGCUUUUCCAAGCAUGGCUCCUCCAGUCUCCUCCAGGAAUUCACUGAGACUUAACCACCGUCUAUGCUAGAACAUGCUCCUUGCAGCUAUCCAAACAUCUCCUGAGCUGUUUACUCUGCUCAGUGCCAGCCUCUCCGCAGACUGACGUUCCUGCAAGAGCGGGGCUCCCUCCUUUGCCUGGGAAAUCUGCAAUGCAUUGUCUGGCACAUCUCAUCCUCUGAUAGAUUCUCAUAGGAUGGGGUUUAAACCUUUACCACCCCCUAUUAAUUAUACACUUGAGAUUUCUAUAGCUGGCAAAAAAAAAAAAGUCACUAAUAUGCUGUAAUCAGGCAGAGGGAGGCAGUGGCAUAUAAAUUGUUAAUUUAUGUAAAGCUACGUAUAGGGAAGAAAUUAUCCAACAUGUGUGCACAAAGGUGAAAAUAUUAGCUUGUGUCAGUGGGUGCCAGUUGCGAAGCUUGACGCUGCCGCCAAACCUCCUGGGGGUGGGUGGUGACGUGGUGACCAUGAGAUCAGUCCUCUGAGGCUUGUCAGAGAUGGCAGACUCCAGGCUGGGAGCUUCUUAGGUGUAUUUUACACUGUAAUAGGUGAUUCUUCCUUUCAUUUGAGAGAACUAUGCAUGAGAUCAACCUAAAUCUUGUCCGCAACGGGUGGAAGAGCCUCAGAAAGAUAUAUGGUCUUAGGUCACAAAACGUGUGUUCUUUAUUUGACACCCAGGCCCCCAGAUUCUCACCUGAAUAUCUCCGCCUCCCCCACGCUUUAGCAGGUGCACCUUUCACUCCAUUCUCUUAUGUGAAUGAAAUGUACACAAAAUCUAUCUUCAGGAUUUGUUUUAUGAGACACACUUGAGGUGGAAGAUAUAUGUAUGUACAUAGUAUCUGACCUUAGAUACUGAGGGUUGAGUUAACUGUAUUUUCCUCUUCAGUUAGUGGUACAGCACCCCCCCUCCCAAGUCUGGUGGGCUGGACAGGGUCUCUUCCUUGUUUCCAUAAUUACUUAGUUAAUGACCACACUUGUUCCCAUCCAUCCCCAUCCCAUUCUCAACCCCACACCCAGCCCCACUGCUGGCAACUAUGUCUGCAUGUGUAAUGGGUAUAUUUUUGUUCAUCUGUUUUCUUGAAGAGUAUACAUCAUUUGGGGUUGGAGUGUUUUUCACAAAUGUAAGAAGGUAGCAUUUUAUCAGGCCUUUCAUUUGGUUCACACAGGAUCAUGUGUUUGGCUUCCACCUGUUCUUGGAUAUUGUGUACACAUUACCUGUACCUUCUAGCUUGCAGGGGGAGUGCUCCGAGGUACCAAUUCUGUCCAGAAUUACCUCCCCUUUCUUCCAGCGUGGACACCUAGAUUGCUUCCAAUCUUCUGCUACCAAAAUAAAACUUUCAUAAAUAUCCUUGCACACAAUAAACACCUUUGUGGGAGUUCCCUUGUCGAAGUGUGUGAGCAUUUUUUGAAGCAAAUUUUGGGGUCCUGGGGUGUCAUAGACUUCAUGUGGCUCAGUGCUGCUAGAUUUCUCUGCAGCGAGUUUCCACCAUCCUCACUCCCAGAAACAGACCCAGGUGUGAGGAUCACUUCAUGUACAAUGAAGGUGUUUCACAGAUCACUGGGAAAAGUACACAUUGCUUCUGGGCCCUCAGUUCCUUUCCAUUUAAUUUUUUUUUGUUUUUGCACCUAUAACAAUAAUAUUCUGAGCGAGAUUGAAGCUUUUAUCUUAAUAUCAGGCAGAGAAAACACCCCUCUUUACUUUUAUUUUAGGUUGAUUUACUAUUUGAUGGAACUGUAUUCUUUCAUAUAAA
Phacochoerus africanus (Common warthog) is the source of this 2799-nucleotide long non-coding RNA. RefSeq lists it as uncharacterized. The record is from RefSeq and is a predicted model, not a curated record. Lineage: Eukaryota; Metazoa; Chordata; Mammalia; Artiodactyla; Suidae. The transcript is spliced from 7 exons.